UACAGAGGUCUCAAGCGUUGUUCGGAUUCAUUGGGCGUAAAGGGUGCGUAGGCGGCGUGGUAAGUCGGGUGUGAAAUCUCGGAGCUUAACUCCGAAACUGCAUUCGAUACUGCCGUGCUUGAGGACUGGAGAGGAGACUGGAAUUUACGGUGUAGCGGUGAAAUGCGUAGAUAUCGAGAGGAACACCUGCGGCGAAGGCGGGUUGCUGGGCUGACACUGACGCUGAGGCGCGAAAGCCAGGGGAGCGAACGGG
Molecule: ribosomal RNA, 253 nt
Filed under: uncultured bacterium
Lineage: Bacteria
Description: partial 16S ribosomal RNA
Rfam family: Bacterial small subunit ribosomal RNA
Source: RNAcentral